AGAGGGUGCGAGCGUUAAUCGGAAUUACUGGGCGUAAAGCGCGCGUAGGUGGAUAUUUAAGUUGGAUGUGAAAUACCCGGGCUCAACCUGGGAUGGUCAUCCGAAACUGGGUAUCUAGAGUACAGUAGAGGGGAGUGGAAUUUCCGGUGUAGCGGUGAAAUGCGUAGAUAUCGGAAGGAACACCAGUGGCGAAGGCGGCUCCCUGGACUGAUACUGACACUGAGGUGCGAAAGCGUGGGUAGCGAACAGGGAUUAGAUACCCUGGUAGUCCACGCCGUAAACGAUGAGAACUAGCUGUUAGUGCUGUUAUGGCAUUAGUGGCGCAGCAAACGCGUUAAGUUCUCCGCCUGGGAGUACGGCCGCAAGGCUA
RNAcentral lists this ribosomal RNA (370 nucleotides) under uncultured organism. RNAcentral's name for it is "partial 16S ribosomal RNA". It matches the Rfam family "Bacterial small subunit ribosomal RNA", at positions 527 to 896 of the family's 1533-position model. The record is from RNAcentral.